AACAAUGAAACAUUUCUUAUAAAUUAACAUCAAUUCAUUUUCAUCUCAGCACUUGUAUUUUCUUAUUUAGUUAAUGAUAUAACGCAUCUCAUUACAAAAAUAAGAAGAUGUGGAACGAGUGCCAAUGAGACAACUCUCCACAAGAGAGCAAAUGAAGUAGAAAUUAACAACUAUAGGUCACCGUACGGCCUUCAGUGGGCUAAAUCAUACCACAUAGUAAGCUAUAAAAGGCCCCGAAAUGACAAAUGUAAAAUAGUUCAAACGGGAAAACUAACAACUAUACAUGUAGGUCACCGUACGGCCUUCAAUGAGCUAAAUCAUACCACAUAGUAAGCUAUAAAAGGCCCCGAAAUGACAAAUGUAAAAUAGUUCAAACGGGAAAACUAACAACUAUAGGUCACCGUACGGCCUUCAGUGAGCUAAAUCAUACCACAUAGUAAGCUAUAAAAGGCCCCGAAAUGACAAAUGUAAAAUAGUUCAAACGGGAAAACUAACAACUAUAGGUCACCGUACGGCCUUCAAUGAGCUAAAUCAUACCACAUAGUGGGCUGUAAAAGGCCCCGAAAUGACAAAUGUAAAAUAGUUCAAACGGGAAAACUAACAACUAUAGGUCACCGUACGGCCUUCAAUGAGCUAAAUCAUACCACAUAGUAAGCUAUAAAAGGCUCCGAAAUGACAAAUGUAAAAUAGUUCAAACGGGAAAACUAACAACUAUAGGUCACCGUACGGCCUUCAAUGAGCUAAAUCAUACCACAUAAGUAAGCUAUAAAAGGCCCCGAAAUAACAAAUGUAAAAUAGUUCAAACGGGAAAACUAACAACUAUAGGUCACCGUACGGCCUUCAAUGAGCUAAAUCAUACCACAUAGUAAGCUAUAAAAGGCUCCGAAAUGACAAAUGUAAAAUAGUUCAAACGGGAAAACUAACA
Long non-coding RNA from Mytilus californianus (California mussel), 925 nucleotides. RefSeq lists it as uncharacterized. NCBI's taxonomy places the organism in Eukaryota, Metazoa, Mollusca, Bivalvia, Mytilida, Mytilidae. The transcript has 3 exons. The record is from RefSeq and is a predicted model, not a curated record.